RNAcentral lists this transfer RNA (72 nucleotides) under Bos taurus (domestic cattle). It matches the Rfam family "tRNA". Rfam says of the family: Transfer RNA (tRNA) molecules are approximately 80 nucleotides in length. Their secondary structure includes four short double-helical elements and three loops (D, anti-codon, and T loops). The record is from Rfam by way of RNAcentral. Lineage: Eukaryota; Metazoa; Chordata; Mammalia; Artiodactyla; Bovidae. RNAcentral also lists the same sequence under 1 other name.
UCCCUGGUGGCUCAGAUGGUAAAGCGUCUGCCUACGAAGCAGGAGACCCGGGUUUGAUCCCUGGGUUGGGAA